RNAcentral lists this long non-coding RNA (301 nucleotides) under Elaeis guineensis (African oil palm). RNAcentral describes it as "long non-coding RNA (EGUI_LNC054236)". The record is from RNAcentral. Lineage: Eukaryota; Viridiplantae; Streptophyta; Magnoliopsida; Arecales; Arecaceae.
GGGAAUAGUGUCCCCUGAUCUUUAUCACGACGCAUGAGUGGGCAGCCUUUUCUUGCACUAUCAGACGGCUGCCAACGAUCUUCUCACAUGAUCAGAUGGUUGAGGGAGCUCUUAACCAUAUCAAGUAAUGGUGGCCCACUGAGAUGGCAUGAUCCAACAGUCCAGAUGCAUCCUAAGGCAAGAUUGAACAGCUGCGGUGGUUCCCGACUGAAGAGAAGGAAUUUGAGAUGAGUUUGUGCAUUGAUCAAUGGAUGGGAUUUGAUUUGUUGGUGCAAUUCAAUAGCCCAAAGCACUCCUAUGC